Molecule: ribosomal RNA, 253 nt
Filed under: uncultured bacterium
Lineage: Bacteria
Description: partial 16S ribosomal RNA
Rfam family: Bacterial small subunit ribosomal RNA
Source: RNAcentral
UACAGAGGGUGCUAGCGUUGUUCGGAAUCAUUGGGCGUAAAGGGCGUGUAGGCGGUUUGUUAAGUCAUGUGUGAAAUCCCUCGGCUCAACCGGGGAACGACGCAUGAAACUGGCAAGCUAGAGUACCAAAGAGGGGGGUGGAAUUCCCGGUGUAGCGGUGAAAUGCGUAGAUAUCAGGAAGAACACCGGUGGCGAAGGCGGCUCGCUGGGCCAGUUCUGACACUCAUCCGCGAAAGCGUGGGGAGCAAACAGG